GAUGAACGCUGGCGGCGUGCUUAACACAUGCAAGUCGAACGAAGCACUUUAUUUGAUUUCCUUCGGGACUGAUUAUUUUGUGACUGAGUGGCGGACGGGUGAGUAACGCGUGGGUAACCUGCCUUGUACAGGGGGAUAACAGUUGGAAACGGCUGCUAAUACCGCAUAAGCGCACAGCAUCGCAUGAUGCAGUGUGAAAAACUCCGGUGGUAUAAGAUGGACCCGCGUUGGAUUAGCUAGUUGGUGAGGUAACGGCCCACCAAGGCGACGAUCCAUAGCCGGCCUGAGAGGGUGACCGGCCACAUUGGGACUGAGACACGGCCCAAACUCCUACGGGAGGCAGCAGUGGGGAAUAUUGCACAAUGGGCGAAAGCCUGAUGCAGCGACGCCGCGUGAGCGAAGAAGUAUUUCGGUAUGUAAAGCUCUAUCAGCAGGGAAGAUAAUGACGGUACCUGACUAAGAAGCACCGGCUAAAUACGUG
Molecule: ribosomal RNA, 481 nt
Filed under: uncultured bacterium
Lineage: Bacteria
Description: partial 16S ribosomal RNA
Rfam family: Bacterial small subunit ribosomal RNA
Source: RNAcentral